RNAcentral lists this ribosomal RNA (987 nucleotides) under Massilia consociata. Its description in RNAcentral is "bacterial SSU rRNA". It matches the Rfam family "Bacterial small subunit ribosomal RNA", at positions 39 to 1022 of the family's 1533-position model. The record is from RNAcentral. Lineage: Bacteria; Pseudomonadati; Pseudomonadota; Betaproteobacteria; Burkholderiales; Oxalobacteraceae.
GCGGCAUGCUUUACACAUGCAAGUCGAACGGCAGCACGGGCUUCGGCCUGGUGGCGAGUGGCGAACGGGUGAGUAAUAUAUCGGAACGUACCCAGAAGUGGGGGAUAACGUAGCGAAAGUUACGCUAAUACCGCAUACGAUCUACGGAUGAAAGUGGGGGACCUUCGGGCCUCAUGCUUGUGGAGCGGCCGAUAUCUGAUUAGCUAGUAGGUAGGGUAAAGGCCUACCUAGGCGACGAUCAGUAGCUGGUCUGAGAGGACGACCAGCCACACUGGGACUGAGACACGGCCCAGACUCCUACGGGAGGCAGCAGUGGGGAAUUUUGGACAAUGGGCGCAAGCCUGAUCCAGCAAUGCCGCGUGAGUGAAGAAGGCCUUCGGGUUGUAAAGCUCUUUUGUCAGGGAAGAAACGGCUGAGGUUAAUACCUUCGGCUAAUGACGGUACCUGAAGAAUAAGCACCGGCUAACUACGUGCCAGCAGCCGCGGUAAUACGUAGGGUGCAAGCGUUAAUCGGAAUUACUGGGCGUAAAGCGUGCGCAGGCGGUUUUGUAAGUCUGACGUGAAAUCCCCGGGCUCAACCUGGGAAUUGCGUUGGAGACUGCAAGGCUGGAGUCUGGCAGAGGGGGGUAGAAUUCCACGUGUAGCAGUGAAAUGCGUAGAGAUGUGGAGGAACACCGAUGGCGAAGGCAGCCCCCUGGGUCAAGACUGACGCUCAUGCACGAAAGCGUGGGGAGCAAACAGGAUUAGAUACCCUGGUAGUCCACGCCCUAAACGAUGUCUACUAGUUGUCGGGUUUUAAUUAACUUGGUAACGCAGCUAACGCGUGAAGUAGACCGCCUGGGGAGUACGGUCGCAAGAUUAAAACUCAAAGGAAUUGACGGGGACCCGCACAAGCGGUGGAUGAUGUGGAUUAAUUCGAUGCAACGCGAAAAACCUUACCUACCCUUGACAUGGAAGGAAUCCCGAAGAGAUUUGGGAGUGCCCGAA